ACAGGGCUGGGGCAAUGCUGAUGAAAGGCAAAUUCCUGAGAGAAAAAUCACCCAAACUACCUCAUUACCAAGUUCCUCCAAGAUGGCCGCCCCUGAGGAGAAUCAUCAACUGGGCUUUACGGAAGAGAGAAAUCCAAACGACCAUCAGCAACAAAUGAAAGACUGAAGUUGAAAGGCAAGUCUUCAGAUUUGGAGUAAGAGCUUGAAAAGAAAAAUGAAAAAAGAAUCCUGGGGAUGACCAGCAUUUAGUGGGGUAAGGAAGAAGAGAAAAGCAGCAAGUAAAGGAUAAAAGUUUCAAGAUUGUCAAGAAUGACAAGUUGGACUUGGUCUAGUUACUUCCACAGCAGCAGGAGGAACAUGUGUGUGACUCAGGAUAACUGGGGAAGCCUUGGCUAGGCUUUCCUCAUGUCAACCUACCACUCAAAGGGAGAAAACCUCCUGAUCAGAGGAGCCCAGAACCCAGGAAAUCCAUAAUUUUUGAAUGCUGGCCGAGGUCUGUGACCUCUGACUGAAUGGUUUCCAAGCUCUGAAUUCCUAGGUAUAACACUUGCUGAAGAAAGGAAAAGCUCUCUGAUUUAGGUGUAAGCAAAACAAUCUAAACAGUAGGAUAAAAUCGUGUUGGAGUGGAGUUCUGUGUGAGCGCUGUCUUUGAACCAAAUCAGUUCCACAACUGACCCUG
This 679-nucleotide long non-coding RNA is filed under the name Pongo abelii (Sumatran orangutan). Its description in RNAcentral is "lincRNA". Lineage: Eukaryota; Metazoa; Chordata; Mammalia; Primates; Hominidae. The record is from RNAcentral.